AGUGAACGCUGGCGGUAGGCCUAACACAUGCAAGUCGAACGGCAGCACAGUAAGAGCUUGCUCUUACGGGUGGCGAGUGGCGGACGGGUGAGGAAUACAUCGGAAUCUACUUUUUCGUGGGGGAUAACGUAGGGAAACUUACGCUAAUACCGCAUACGACCUACGGGUGAAAGCAGGGGAUCUUCGGACCUUGCGCGAUUGAAUGAGCCGAUGUCGGAUUAGCUAGUUGGCGGGGUAAAGGCCCACCAAGGCGACGAUCCGUAGCUGGUCUGAGAGGAUGAUCAGCCACACUGGAACUGAGACACGGUCCAGACUCCUACGGGAGGCAGCAGUGGGGAAUAUUGGACAAUGGGCGCAAGCCUGAUCCAGCCAUACCGCGUGGGUGAAGAAGGCCUUCGGGUUGUAAAGCCCUUUUGUUGGGAAAGAAAAGCAGCAGGUUAAUACCCCGCUGUUCUGACGGUACCCCAAGAAUAAGCACCGGCUAACUUCGUG
RNAcentral lists this ribosomal RNA (492 nucleotides) under uncultured bacterium. RNAcentral's name for it is "partial 16S ribosomal RNA". It matches the Rfam family "Bacterial small subunit ribosomal RNA", at positions 29 to 507 of the family's 1533-position model. The record is from RNAcentral.